RNAcentral lists this ribosomal RNA (386 nucleotides) under uncultured bacterium. RNAcentral describes it as "bacterial SSU rRNA". It matches the Rfam family "Bacterial small subunit ribosomal RNA", at positions 30 to 412 of the family's 1533-position model. The record is from RNAcentral.
AUUGAACGCUGGCGGCAUGCUUUACACAUGCAAGUCGAACGGCAGCGCGGGGGCAACCCUGGCGGCGAGUGGCGAACGGGUGAGUAAUACAUCGGAACGUACCCAGAAGUGGGGGAUAACGUAGCGAAAGUUACGCUAAUACCGCAUACGUUCUACGGAAGAAAGUGGGGGACCUUCGGGCCUCAUGCUUUUGGAGCGGCCGAUGUCUGAUUAGCUAGUUGGUGAGGUAAAGGCUCACCAAGGCGACGAUCAGUAGCUGGUCUGAGAGGACGACCAGCCACACUGGAACUGAGACACGGUCCAGACUCCUACGGGAGGCAGCAGUGGGGGAAUUUUGGACGAAUGGGCGGAAAGACCUGAUCCAGCGAUGCCGCGUGAGUGAUGAA